This 408-nucleotide ribosomal RNA is filed under the name uncultured bacterium. RNAcentral describes it as "partial 16S ribosomal RNA". It matches the Rfam family "Bacterial small subunit ribosomal RNA", at positions 355 to 755 of the family's 1533-position model. The record is from RNAcentral.
UGGGGAAUAUUGCACAAUGGGCGCAAGCCUGAUGCAGCCAUGCCGCGUGUGUGAAGAAGGCCUUCGGGUUGUAAAGCACUUUCAGCGAGGAGGAAGGUGGUGAACUUAAUACGUUCAUCAAUUGACGUUACUCGCAGAAGAAGCACUGGCUAACUCCGUGCCAGCAGCCGCGGUAAUACGGAGGGUGCAAGCGUUAAUCGGAAUUACUGGGCGUAAAGCGCACGCAGGCGGUUUGUUAAGUCAGAUGUGAAAUCCCCGGGCUCAACCUGGGAACUGCAUUUGAAACUGGCAAGCUAGAGUCUCGUAGAGGGGGGUAGAAUUCCAGGUGUAGCGGUGAAAUGCGUAGAGAUCUGGAGGAAUACCGGUGGCGAAGGCGGCCCCCUGGACGAAGACUGACGCUCAGGUGCG